GAGUUUGAUCAUGGCUCAGGAUGAACGCUGGCGGUAUGCUUAACACAUGCAAGUCGAACGAAAGCUUUAUGCUUUAGUGGCGAACGGGUGCGUAAUACGUGAGAAUCUGCCCUUAGGAGGAGAAUAACUUCUGGAAACGGUUGCUAAGUCUCCAUAUGCCGAGAGGUAAAAUAGUUUACACUGCCUAGGGAUGAGCUCACGCCUGAUUAGCUUGUUGGUAAGGUAAUGGCUUACCAAGGCCACGAUCAGUAGCUGGUUUGAGAGAACGAUCAGCCACACUGGGACUGAGACACGGCCCAGACUCCUCCGGGAGGCAGCAGUGAGGAAUUUUCCGCAAUGGGCGAAAGCCUGACGGAGCAAUACCGCGUGAGGGAUGAAGGAUUUUGGUCUGUAAACCUCUUUUCUCAAGAAAGAAGUUCUGACGGUACUUGAGGAAUAAGCAUCGGCUAACUCCGUGCCAGCAGCCGCGGUAAUACGGGGGAUGCAAGCGUUAUCCGGAUUUAUUGGGCGUAAAGCGCCUGUAGGUUGUUUAAUAAGUCUGUUGUUAAAGACUAGGGCUUAACCCUAGGAAAGCAAUGGAAACUACUAGACUUGAGUAUGAUAGGGGUAGAAGGGAAUUUCUAGUGUAGCGGUGAAAUGCGUAGAUAUUAGAAAGAACACCGGUGGCGAAGGCGCUCUACUGGAUCAUUACUGACACUCAGAGGCGAAAGCUAGGGUAGCAAAAGGGAUUAGAUACCCCUGUAGUCCUAGCCGUAAACGAUGGAUACUACAUGUUGCGUUUUUAAUGCAGUAUGGUAGCUAACGCGUUAAGUAUCCCGCCUGGGGAGUACGG
RNAcentral lists this ribosomal RNA (832 nucleotides) under uncultured bacterium. RNAcentral describes it as "bacterial SSU rRNA". It matches the Rfam family "Bacterial small subunit ribosomal RNA", at positions 9 to 885 of the family's 1533-position model. The record is from RNAcentral.